CCUACGUGUGGCUGCAGUGGGGAAUAUUGGACAAUGGGCGAAAGCCUGAUCCAGCCAUGCCGCGUGUGUGAAGAAGGCCUUCGGGUUGUAAAGCACUUUCAGUGGGGAAGAAAGCCUUGGGGCUAAUACCCUCGAGGAAGGACAUCACCCACAGAAGAAGCACCGGCUAACUCCGUGCCAGCAGCCGCGGUAAUACGGAGGGUGCGAGCGUUACUCGGAAUUACUGGGCGUAAAGCGCGCGUAGGCGGUCUGAUAAGCCGGUUGUGAAAGCCCCGGGCUCAACCUGGGAACGGCAUCCGGAACUGUCAGGCUAGAGUGCAGGAGAGGAAGGUAGAAUUCCCGGUGUAGCGGUGAAAUGCGUAGAGAUCGGGAGGAAUACCAGUGGCGAAGGCGGCCUUCUGGACUGACACUGACGCUGAGGUGCGAAAGCGUGGGUAGCAAACAGGAUUAGAUACCCCAGUAGUC
Molecule: ribosomal RNA, 465 nt
Filed under: Vreelandella stevensii
Lineage: Bacteria; Pseudomonadati; Pseudomonadota; Gammaproteobacteria; Oceanospirillales; Halomonadaceae
Description: partial 16S ribosomal RNA
Rfam family: Bacterial small subunit ribosomal RNA
Source: RNAcentral